Long non-coding RNA from Brienomyrus brachyistius, 585 nucleotides. RefSeq lists it as uncharacterized. Lineage: Eukaryota; Metazoa; Chordata; Actinopteri; Osteoglossiformes; Mormyridae. The transcript is spliced from 2 exons. The record is from RefSeq and is a predicted model, not a curated record.
UAUGAACCCCUACACCCUACCUGAGAGACCCAUAUUUUUACUCCAUAAUCACUUCAAAAGUAGAUGAGCUGCACAUUCAGAGAAGCAUGUCAAGGAAACAUUACUGAAUGCUCCUCCCAUCCCUGAGAAGAAUAUAUUCGGUACACUUCAUCACUCGGGCCAGAGAGAAGCUUAUUCUUUUGCUGUCCAAAGUAGUUGCCAUCAGUAGGUUCAACAGGGAAUGAAAAUGCUGUACCUCGUUCUGUUAUUAGGCUGUUUCUUACCACUGGGAGAAAUAGCCAUUGCAGCAUUAACAACCCCAACGGCGACAUCAUCAACCACCCCAACGAGCCCAAUGUCGGCAUCAUCAACCACCUCAACGACCCCAACUUCGACAUCAUCAACCACCCCAACGACCGCAACAUCGGCAUCAUCAACCACCUCAACGACCCCAACUUCGACAUCAUCAACCACCCCAACGAGCCCAAUGUCGGCAUCAUCAACCACCUCAACGACCCCAACUUCGACAUCAUCAACCACCCCAAGGACCCCAACGUCGACAUCAUCAACCACCCCAACGAGCCCAAUGUCGACAUCAUCAACCAC